RNAcentral lists this ribosomal RNA (1556 nucleotides) under Salmonella enterica subsp. enterica serovar Macclesfield str. S-1643. RNAcentral describes it as "bacterial SSU rRNA". It matches the Rfam family "Bacterial small subunit ribosomal RNA". The record is from RNAcentral. Lineage: Bacteria; Pseudomonadati; Pseudomonadota; Gammaproteobacteria; Enterobacterales; Enterobacteriaceae.
UUAAAUUGAAGAGUUUGAUCAUGGCUCAGAUUGAACGCUGGCGGCAGGCCUAACACAUGCAAGUCGAACGGUAACAGGAAGCAGCUUGCUGCUUUGCUGACGAGUGGCGGACGGGUGAGUAAUGUCUGGGAAACUGCCUGAUGGAGGGGGAUAACUACUGGAAACGGUGGCUAAUACCGCAUAACGUCGCAAGACCAAAGAGGGGGACCUUCGGGCCUCUUGCCAUCAGAUGUGCCCAGAUGGGAUUAGCUUGUUGGUGAGGUAACGGCUCACCAAGGCGACGAUCCCUAGCUGGUCUGAGAGGAUGACCAGCCACACUGGAACUGAGACACGGUCCAGACUCCUACGGGAGGCAGCAGUGGGGAAUAUUGCACAAUGGGCGCAAGCCUGAUGCAGCCAUGCCGCGUGUAUGAAGAAGGCCUUCGGGUUGUAAAGUACUUUCAGCGGGGAGGAAGGUGUUGUGGUUAAUAACCGCAGCAAUUGACGUUACCCGCAGAAGAAGCACCGGCUAACUCCGUGCCAGCAGCCGCGGUAAUACGGAGGGUGCAAGCGUUAAUCGGAAUUACUGGGCGUAAAGCGCACGCAGGCGGUCUGUCAAGUCGGAUGUGAAAUCCCCGGGCUCAACCUGGGAACUGCAUUCGAAACUGGCAGGCUUGAGUCUUGUAGAGGGGGGUGGAAUUCCAGGUGUAGCGGUGAAAUGCGUAGAGAUCUGGAGGAAUACCGGUGGCGAAGGCGGCCCCCUGGACAAAGACUGACGCUCAGGUGCGAAAGCGUGGGGAGCAAACAGGAUUAGAUACCCUGGUAGUCCACGCCGUAAACGAUGUCUACUUGGAGGUUGUGCCCUUGAGGCGUGGCUUCCGGAGCUAACGCGUUAAGUAGACCGCCUGGGGAGUACGGCCGCAAGGUUAAAACUCAAAUGAAUUGACGGGGGCCCGCACAAGCGGUGGAGCAUGUGGUUUAAUUCGAUGCAACGCGAAGAACCUUACCUGGUCUUGACAUCCACGGAAGUUUUCAGAGAUGAGAAUGUGCCUUCGGGAACCGUGAGACAGGUGCUGCAUGGCUGUCGUCAGCUCGUGUUGUGAAAUGUUGGGUUAAGUCCCGCAACGAGCGCAACCCUUAUCCUUUGUUGCCAGCGGUCCGGCCGGGAACUCAAAGGAGACUGCCAGUGAUAAACUGGAGGAAGGUGGGGAUGACGUCAAGUCAUCAUGGCCCUUACGACCAGGGCUACACACGUGCUACAAUGGCGCAUACAAAGAGAAGCGACCUCGCGAGAGCAAGCGGACCUCAUAAAGUGCGUCGUAGUCCGGAUUGGAGUCUGCAACUCGACUCCAUGAAGUCGGAAUCGCUAGUAAUCGUGGAUCAGAAUGCCACGGUGAAUACGUUCCCGGGCCUUGUACACACCGCCCGUCACACCAUGGGAGUGGGUUGCAAAAGAAGUAGGUAGCUUAACCUUCGGGAGGGCGCUUACCACUUUGUGAUUCAUGACUGGGGUGAAGUCGUAACAAGGUAACCGUAGGGGAACCUGCGGUUGGAUCACCUCCUUACCUUAGAGAAGC